UGCAAGUCGAACGGUAGUAUGGUGCUUGCACUAUAUGAGAGUGGCGGACGGGUGAGUAACACGUAGAUAAUCUACCCUUGUGUUGGGGAUAGCUUAUGGAAACAUAGGGUAAUACCGAAUACGGUCUUAGAAUCGAUAGGGUUUUAAGAAGAAAGGUGCUACGGCAUCGCACGAGGAGGAGUCUGCGGUAGAUUAGCUAGUUGGUAAGGUAAAGGCUUACAAGGCGACGAUCUAUAGCCGGCCUGAGAGGGUGAACGGCCACACUGGGACUGAGAACGGCCCAGACUCCUACGGGAGGCAGCAGCUAAGAAUCUUCCGCAAUGGACGAAAGUCUGACGGAGCGACGCCGCGUGAACGAAGAAGGCAGAGAUGUUGUAAAGUUCUUUUAUCAGGGAGGAAUAAUGAGAGGAGGGAAUGCCUUUCAGAUGACGUUAACUGAUGAAUAAGCCCCGGCAAAUUACGUGCCAGCAGCCGCGGUAACACGUGAGGGGCGAGCGUUGUUCGGAAUUAUUGGGCGUAAAGGGCGCGUAGGCGGUUUUGCAAGUCUGAUGUAAAAGGUGUGGGCUUAACCCGCACAAGCGUUGGAAACUGUAGAACUAGAGUAGUUGAGGGGGAGCUGGAAUUCCUAGUGUAGAGGUAAAAUUUGUAGAUAUUAGGAAGAACACCGGAGGCGAAGGCGAGCUCCUGGCAACCUACUGACGCUGAGGCGCGAAAGUUUGGGUAGCGAACAGGAUUAGAUACCCUGGUAGUCCUUACUGUAAACGAUGUGCACUGGAUGUUGGUCAUAAGAUCGGUAUCGAAGCUAACGCGAUAAGUGCACCGCCUGGGGAGUAUGCCGGCAACGGUGAGACUCAAAGGAAUUGACGGGCCCCCGCACAAGCGUGGAGCAUGUGGUUUAAUUCGAUGAUACGCGAGAAACCUUACCAGGGCUUGACAUAUAUUUGACGACCAUAGAGAUAUGGUUUCUCUUCGGAGC
Molecule: ribosomal RNA, 976 nt
Filed under: uncultured bacterium
Lineage: Bacteria
Description: bacterial SSU rRNA
Rfam family: Bacterial small subunit ribosomal RNA
Source: RNAcentral